GGAUCCGUAGCUCAGCUGGUUAGAGCGUUGCAUUGACAUUGCAGAGGUCAGUGGUUCGAGUCCACUCGGAUCCA
RNAcentral lists this transfer RNA (74 nucleotides) under Candidatus Levybacteria bacterium RIFCSPLOWO2_01_FULL_38_21. RNAcentral describes it as "tRNA-Val". It matches the Rfam family "tRNA". From Rfam's summary of the family: Transfer RNA (tRNA) molecules are approximately 80 nucleotides in length. Their secondary structure includes four short double-helical elements and three loops (D, anti-codon, and T loops). Further hydrogen bonds mediate the characteristic L-shaped molecular structure. tRNAs have two regions of fundamental functional importance: the anti-codon, which is responsible for specific mRNA codon recognition, and the 3' end, to which the tRNAs corresponding amino acid is attached (by aminoacyl-tRNA synthetases). tRNAs cope with the degeneracy of the genetic code in two manners: having more than one tRNA (with a specific anti-codon) for a particular amino acid; and 'wobble' base-pairing, i.e. permitting non-standard base-pairing at the 3rd anti-codon position. The record is from RNAcentral. Lineage: Bacteria; Candidatus Levyibacteriota.